RNAcentral lists this ribosomal RNA (76 nucleotides) under Mariniplasma anaerobium. Lineage: Bacteria; Bacillati; Mycoplasmatota; Mollicutes; Acholeplasmatales; Acholeplasmataceae. The record is from RNAcentral.
UGGUGACGAUAGCGAAGUGGUCACACCUGUUCCCAUGCCGAACACAGUAGUUAAGCACUUCAGCGCCGAAAAUAGU